UAGCUAAAUGCGGAAGAGAUAAGUGCUGAAAGCAUCUAAGCACGAAACUUGCCCCGAGAUGAGUUCUCCCUGAGACUUUAAGUCUCCUGAAGGAACGUUAAAGACGAUGACGUUGAUAGGCCGGGUGUGUAAGCGCAGCGAUGCGUUGAGCUAACCGGUACUAAUGAACCGUGAGGCUUAACCUU
Molecule: ribosomal RNA, 185 nt
Filed under: Klebsiella pneumoniae
Lineage: Bacteria; Pseudomonadati; Pseudomonadota; Gammaproteobacteria; Enterobacterales; Enterobacteriaceae
Also listed under: 103 other names
Description: partial 23S ribosomal RNA
Rfam family: Bacterial large subunit ribosomal RNA
Source: RNAcentral